This is a long non-coding RNA of Astyanax mexicanus (Mexican tetra), 2651 nucleotides long. RefSeq lists it as uncharacterized. NCBI's taxonomy places the organism in Eukaryota, Metazoa, Chordata, Actinopteri, Characiformes, Acestrorhamphidae. The record is from RefSeq and is a predicted model, not a curated record. The transcript is spliced from 4 exons.
AAACAACAAGCUUUUAUGCAACAGCUGUGACGUACACUCCAGAUACCGAGUUCCAAAGUCAAAUGGAACAGAGUGGAUAAGACAAACAACAACAUCAAAUAACAUAUGGGAUGCUGUAGUGCUUGAAGUCUCAUGACAUCACCUGUACACAACCAGUUAGAAACUUCGGCCCAUCUUCCCAGGACCUCCAGAUAUUCUCUGGUGGGGCAAAAGAGGAUGACAAAGUGGCAGUGCACCAUGGGGAAAGAGGGCACAGAGUCGUUCUGUUCGCCGAGUUCAAGCAAGGUUUUUAAAUAUCUCCUACUGAGUGACCCCUUCUAACUAAACCUGCUGUAGGUAGGUCUCAGGGAAACUGUCCUGCUUUUCUAAUGACUCAUCUUUGAUAGGACUGCAGCAUCUUCGGAGACUGCGCUGCCCACUGCAGCCCCUGCUGCUGACUCACCACGUCUGCACCUGCACACACACAAACUCUACACGCUCCGUCCCAUAGUCUGCCCCCGAGUCACCUCACCUCAUCAACUGCCUUACCAAAAGUAUCGGAUGGACCUCCUUUAUUCCAGAGAACACAGUUCCAAUGCUCCUCAGCUCAGUGCUCACAUUCAUUUGCUCAAGAGAAUCUGAUUCUAUUGGCAGUACUUCAUUAAAAUGACCAAAUGAGCUAUAUGUAUGUAUUUACGCAUCUGUGUUAGCAAUAGGUUCAACUUAAUGUAGCUGAAUGCAUGUGGAUCCAAAUUUAAAAAUGUUUGUGUGGUAAGACAUUUAUAAGAUAUUUAUAUAUAUUUAUAUUUAUAUAUAUUUAAUGUCUUUGUGUUGCUGUACAACUUAUAACAGGUGUUAUUUGAACCUUAUAGUACACAUUUGGAUUGUAUGGGCUGUCUGCAAGUAUAUACUAAAAUAUUAACAAAACACACUUUAUCUACUAUUACUUGGACUCUUUAAAAAUGUGUUUCAUUGAUGCCUAUAGCCAUUUACUGUAGCCAUUUGUCAAUAACUUUUUCAAAAAAAAAUUAUUUGUUCAUUUAUACCUGAAUGUUUACAUUUGCUGCAUUUUCUCAAAAGAUCUUUCUUUUAUGAUCUUUAAUGAUUCUUCUGACUGAACCCAGACUGCUAAAUCUAAAGAUUUGCUUAUCAAAGUGCAGAGAACAAAUGACAGCAGGCUGAGGUUAAUCCGGGCCACAUUCAGCAGACUGGAUAUAUCUCCUGCAAAAGGACAGAAGUCAUAAGGAGUGUCCAAGAGACUGUGGUGGAAAACCCCACAGGGAAUUAUUCUCCUUGGAUGCCCUGUGCCCUUCCCUCCCCACUUCACAUCUCUGUCUAUAGCCCUGUCAUUCUGGAAACAUCCCGACUUUCACGGUAAAUAUCCAGCCUUUCAGCUGAGCUUUAAUUGCGCUGAGACCAAACAUUAAAAAAGAAAGAAAAACGGGAGCGAGAGCGUGCAAGACUUUUUUCUGCUUAAUCCACUUUCAACGUGCAUGCAAAUAGCCCGUCGCCCUUGAGUUUCAAAGUGGGUUCCGUGCUCCUCGCUAAUUAGACAAGCUUCCCCGGCUUCCUCUUCUCUUUCUAAUUAGAAUCUUUAAUAACAAACAAGCGCCGACCUUUACAAAAGGCUUCUCCACAAUCUCCUCCAUUAGUUAAACGGAUGAGGAGGGAAGGGGUUAGAGAACGAUCACCCCCCCACCAGCUCCCCUCCCAUACCCCAACAGCACUGAAGCAUCAUCCAAGAGUCUUGGGCCAUGCCAGUGGUCCACAAUAGUGGCUUCCUGUUGCAAUCUGCACGAGGCGUUGGAUUGAGGGCGAUAGCGGGAGGAAAGCGACAGGACACAAAGACGACAUCGGAGGCGCACAACAAAUACACAUGGUGGCUUUGUUUGCUCUGACAUGGACAAUUAGCCCUCAGCUGCCGGCAUCGCGCAGCCAGGAAGGUCUUAUCUAAUAAAGGCAGGCAAAAUGACUUUUAUUGUUCAGGUAGAUUGCCUCUAAUGAUAGUGCCAUCAGUGUAAAAGGAUAUGAAUAAAAAUGGGGAUGUGAUGGGGGGUGCAGAAGGGGAAGAAAAAGAAAGAGAGAAAGUGGCUCUUCAGUGGAUGGUGGGAGCACGAAAAGACACCAUCUGGGAGCGCUGCAAUCUCUUGAUUAUCUUCCUGUGCUAAUUUUCUUUUCAGUGCAUACAAAUGAUUUACUUUGAGCAAAGGUGAGAAACAUGAGUGCGAUUGAGCCAAAGACGCUGUUUUUUCCCCUCCCCCCUUCUUUUUCACAUCAAAGUUAGAGAAAUAAUGGCUUCUCUCUGAUCUUGUGCAGAAAAGCACAUGUUCCUCUGUGUGUAACGUUUCCACAGUGGGACCGAGCAUGUCGCCAGCUUCCUCUGGGAGCAGCGGUGGCGGGAAAGAAAAGAAGGCGUUUAUUUGCAUGGCACGAAGACAAAUUUGCAGCAUGCUAAUGAACAAAUAUCGAAUGGCGAUGUUAGAGCUGUGCGGACAUCUGGUGCCACGCUGCAUCAGCGAUACAACAACCUGCAAUAUCACAGGAGCCCCGUGUUUGGAAUAAUGGAGCUGCCAGCUUGUGUUGGGCAUUAAAGCUUACGAUCUGAAUGUGCAUGUGUGCAGGGGAGUGUGUGACUCUAAAACAAAUGAGGUCAUAAAAGAAAAUGAACGCAA